CUACGUGCCAGCAGCCGCGGUAAUACGUAUGUCGCAAGCGUUAUCCGGAAUUAUUGGGCAUAAAGGGCAUCUAGGCGGCCAGAUAAGUCUGGGGUGAAAACUUGCGGCUCAACCGCAAGCCUGCCCUGGAAACUAUGUGGCUAGAGUACUGGAGAGGUGGACGGAACUGCACGAGUAGAGGUGAAAUUCGUAGAUAUGUGCAGGAAUGCCGAUGAUGAAGACAGUUCACUGGACGGUAACUGACGCUGAAGUGCGAAAGCUAGGGGAGCAAACAGGAUUAGAUACCCUGGUAGUCCUAGCUGUAAACGAUGAUUACUGGGUGUGGGCAUGAAGAGUGUCCGUGCCGAAGCUAAUGCGAUAAGUAAUCCGCCUGGGGAGUACGGCCGCAAGGCUGAAACUCAAAGGAAUUGACGGGGACCCGCACAAGCGGUGGAGCAUGUGGUUUAAUUCGACGCAACGCGAGGAACCUUACCAGAUCUUGACAUCCUG
RNAcentral lists this ribosomal RNA (489 nucleotides) under uncultured bacterium. RNAcentral describes it as "bacterial SSU rRNA". It matches the Rfam family "Bacterial small subunit ribosomal RNA", at positions 501 to 991 of the family's 1533-position model. The record is from RNAcentral.